Molecule: ribosomal RNA, 484 nt
Filed under: uncultured bacterium
Lineage: Bacteria
Description: partial 16S ribosomal RNA
Rfam family: Bacterial small subunit ribosomal RNA
Source: RNAcentral
AUUGAACGCUGGCGGCAGGCCUAACACAUGCAAGUCGAGCGGAUGAAGUGUGCUUGCUCUUGCUUUCAGCGGCGGACUGGUUUGUAAUGCCUAGAAUUCUGCCUGGUUGUGGUGGAUAACGUCCGGAAACGGGUGCUAAUACCGCUUACUUCCUGCGGGUGAAAGUGGGUGUUCUUUGGACCUUACUUUAUCGAUUCAAUCUAGGUCGGAUUAGCUAGUUGGUGGGUUAAUGGCCUACCAAGUGAACUAUCGGCAACCGGUCUGAGAGGAUGAUAGGUGACACUGGAACUGAGACACGGUCAAGACUCCUACGGGAGGCAGAGGAGGGGAAUAUUGGACAAUGGGCGAAAGCCUGAUCCAGCAAUGCCGCGUGUGUGAAGAAGGUCUUCGGAUGGUAAAGCACGUUAAGUUGGGAGGAAGGGCAGUAAGUUAAUACGUUGCUGUUUUGACGUUACCAACAGAAAAAGCACCGGCUAACUUCGUG